GUCCGCCACCAGGACUGGGGCGACCACCUCCUCCGCCGCCGCCAGGUGGGGCACCUGGGUAAGGUGGGUAUGGAGAGUAAGGAGGAUAUACAACAGGAGGUGAUAUAACCGGUGGUGGAUUAAUAAUAAUAGGUGGCAUGAUUAUUGGUGGCCCUUUCCCGUGGCCUCCAUGGUGCGGUGGUUUCGUGUGUGGGGGUUUGGGAUGAGGAACUUUCGGGUGGGUAGGGCGGUGAUACGGUGGAUAUGG
Molecule: long non-coding RNA, 247 nt
Filed under: Carica papaya (papaya)
Lineage: Eukaryota; Viridiplantae; Streptophyta; Magnoliopsida; Brassicales; Caricaceae
Description: long non-coding RNA (CPAP_LNC003829)
Source: RNAcentral